This 492-nucleotide ribosomal RNA is filed under the name uncultured bacterium. Its description in RNAcentral is "partial 16S ribosomal RNA". It matches the Rfam family "Bacterial small subunit ribosomal RNA", at positions 29 to 507 of the family's 1533-position model. The record is from RNAcentral.
AGUGAACGCUGGCGGUAGGCCUAACACAUGCAAGUCGAACGGCAGCACAGUAAGAGCUUGCUCUUACGGGUGGCGAGUGGCGGACGGGUGAGGAAUACAUCGGAAUCUACUUUUUCGUGGGGGAUAACGUAGGGAAACUUACGCUAAUACCGCAUACGACCUACGGGUGAAAGCAGGGGAUCUUCGGACCUUGUGCGAUUGAAUGAGCCGAUGUCGGAUUAGCUAGUUGGCGGGGUAAAGGCCCACCAAGGCGACGAUCCGUAGCUGGUCUGAGAGGAUGAUCAGCCACACUGGAACUGAGACGCAGUCCAGACUCCUGCGGGAGGCAGCAGUGGGGAAUAUUGGGCAAUGGGCGCAAGCCUGAUCCAGCCAUACCGCGUGGGUGAAGAAGGCCUUCGGGUUGUAGAGCCCCUUUGUUGGGAAAGAAAAGCAGCAGGUUAAUACCCCGCUGUUCUGACGGUACCCAAAGAAUAAGCACCGGCUAACUUCGUG